This 253-nucleotide ribosomal RNA is filed under the name uncultured bacterium. RNAcentral describes it as "partial 16S ribosomal RNA". It matches the Rfam family "Bacterial small subunit ribosomal RNA", at positions 524 to 776 of the family's 1533-position model. The record is from RNAcentral.
UACGUAGGGUGCGAGCGUUGUCCGGAAUUAUUGGGCGUAAAGAGCUUGUAGGCGGUUUGUCGCGUCUGCUGUGAAAAUCCGGGGCUCAACCUCGGGUCUGCAGUGGGUACGGGCAGACUGGAGUGCGGUAGGGGAGAAUGGAAUUCCUGGUGUAGCGGUGGAAUGCGCAGAUAUCAGGAGGAACACCGAUGGCGAAGGCAGUUCUCUGGGCCGUAACUGACGCUGAGGAGCGAAAGCGUGGGGAGCGAACAGG